Molecule: small nuclear RNA, 107 nt
Organism: Phodopus roborovskii (desert hamster)
Lineage: Eukaryota; Metazoa; Chordata; Mammalia; Rodentia; Cricetidae
Source: RefSeq, a predicted model, not a curated record
GUGCUCAAUUUGACAGCAUGUAUACUAAAAUUGGAAUGAUACAAAAAAGAUUAGCAUGACUUCUGCAUGAGGAUGACAUGCAAAUUCAGAAAUCAUCCCAUAUUCAG